RNAcentral lists this ribosomal RNA (401 nucleotides) under uncultured bacterium. RNAcentral's name for it is "bacterial SSU rRNA". It matches the Rfam family "Bacterial small subunit ribosomal RNA", at positions 30 to 417 of the family's 1533-position model. The record is from RNAcentral.
AGUGAACGCUGGCGGCAGGCCUAACACAUGCAAGUCGAGCGGCAGCGCGUCCGACCACCCUCGGGUGGUCGGAUGGCGGCGAGCGGCGGACGGGUGAGGAAUGCAUCGGAAUCUGCCUCGUUGUGGGGGAUAACGUAGGGAAACUUACGCUAAUACCGCAUACGACCUACGGGUGAAAGUGGGGGACCUUCGGGCCUCACGCGAUGAGAUGAGCCGAUGCCGGAUUAGCUAGUUGGCGGGGUAAAGGCCCAUCAAGGCGACGAUCCGUAGCUGGUCUGAGAGGAUGAUCAGCCACACUGGAACUGAGACACGGUCCAGACUCCUACGGGAGGCAGCAGUGGGGAAUAUUGGACAAUGGGGGCAACCCUGAUCCAGCCAUGCCGCGUGUGUGAAGAAGGCCU